CAGCCGCCGCGGUAAAACAGAGGGUGCGAGCGUUAAUCGGAUUUACUGGGCGUAAAGCGUGCGUAGGCGGCUUCUUAAGUCGGAUGUGAAAUCCCUGAGCUUAACUUAGGAAUUGCAUUCGAUACUGGGAAGCUAGAGUAUGGGAGAGGAUGGUAGAAUUCCAGGUGUAGCGGUUAAAUGCGUAGAGAUCUGGAGGAAUACCGAUGGCGAAGGCAGCCAUCUGGCCUAAUACUGACGCUGAGGUACGAAAGCAUGGGGAGCAAACAGGAUUAGAUACCCCUGUAGUCCCUGUCUCUUAUAC
Molecule: ribosomal RNA, 301 nt
Filed under: uncultured bacterium
Lineage: Bacteria
Description: partial 16S ribosomal RNA
Rfam family: Bacterial small subunit ribosomal RNA
Source: RNAcentral